GCUUGCUUAAGAAUCUAUUUAUUGGAAGCAUCGACCAAAGGUUUUUUUGGAUGAAGUAGGGGGAUGCUAAUUCAAAAUACUUUCAUGCGCAAGUGUCAUAGGAUUAAUUAUGUGCAUAGUCUUGUGGAUGAGGGGGAUAGGUUGUUCACCAGUACUAUGAGAUGUGCAACAUUGUUUUAAGGUAUUUUUAAAGCCUUUUCUCUAGUUAUUUGUUUCUAAUUUUCUUACUUUAUGUGAUUUACCUACUUUUGUGAACCAUAGUCAAAAUGAGUCUCUUCUAGCUUCAUUUUGAGAUGAUAAGUACUAUGAUGCAAUAAUGAGGAUGCAUCAUGAUAAAACUCGUAGGCCGGAUGGUAUGAACCCAACUUUCUUUCAGAAAUGUUGGUCAAUUUUUGGGAAGGGAUAUGUUUGAUAAAUGUGUUUCUUGGCUUAAUCGUUGUUCUUUCCGGCUUCGUUAAGUAAUACUACGGUGGUGCUUAUUCUGAAGAAGGAUAAUCUUGAUUGCUUGAAAGAUUUGUGCUCUAUUGCAUUAUGUAAUGUUAUUUACAAUAUUUUGGCCAAGGUGCUUGCCAAUAGGCUUAAACAUAUCUUGUCUUGUAUCAUAUCACCAAUGCAACCUGCUUUUGUUGGAUCUAGUACCCUUAGUAUAAUAUUUUCGUUUAUGUGCACUUGUAUUUUUUCGAACAGAAUAGUUUAAUAAAAUUAUUCAUAAAUUAAAUUAAUAACCUUUGUAUAUUGUCCUCAAUGGUUUUUACAUGCAAAGCAAAAUGUAAGCAAAUAUUAGCUCACAAAUUAUCUAAUGUUUAACUAAUACUAAGUGGUAUUACGUGGGUGGAUCAUAAUAUAGAAAGAAAGCUUAUAUUAGUAGACGAACCUGAACAUAUCCUUAGUCUAAUCGGAAAUGAGUAAAUCGAUUAAAAGACUAAUAUGUCGUCUAUCAAUUCCGAUUGGGGAGAUACUUUAUCUCGAGCAUCAGAGCGGAUGACUUAUAGAAGAUAAAGACAUAUAUAUGACUAACUAGACUAACAAUGUAUCGGACAUAACUCAAGUAGAAUAAAUCUUGAAUCUGUUUAUGGAUUUAUUCACUUGUGAGGUUCAUAGUGUGUAAUACCUCAAUAUUUAAUGGAUGAUGAAUUAUAUAUGCGUGAGUCGUAUACUUUGAUGUAAGUAAAAACCUAAGUCAAAUAGAUAAGAAACCAAAAAUUGGUACAUUGGGUAUACGACUUCUGCGAUAUGUAGUAUAAUUCACAAUAGUGGAAUUCAUAACCCAAGACAUGGUUAAAUGUUAUCCUCUCAUUGGCAUUAUACGAUAGAUGAAAAGUAAACGUGUCCACAAGUCGUUUGUCUUUAUGACAAAUGACUUAAUUACAAUUUGAUAGUAAUUGACUUUUCAUGAAGGAAGACGUAAUGGUUACCAUGAUAUAAAAUAUGAUCAUAUUGGGAGGACAAAUUUAUCCCAAAGAAAUUAUUAAUAUCUUAUAAGGGUAACACACUUAUGAUAAGGUCAUUAGAUGAGCACUGAUCGGAUAGCUUUUGUAAUGGUAUAUAAUUGGGAAGAGCUCAGUCAUGAUACUCUAGUGUAAUGACUUUGUGACUAAGGCUCUGUUUGAUUGGCAGAAUUGAUUUUCCGAAAAAUUAUUUCCGCCUUUUCCAGUGUUUGAUUGGCGGAAAACAUUUUCCAUUUGGAAAAUGAAAUCCAAAGCACGGGAAAUUGGCUUACAAUUUAGGGAAAAUGUCUUACGCUUCCAAUUUCCGUAAGACAUUUUCCGAAAACUCCUCUCUAUCCCCUCCUACAUUCCUUCCUUCAUCUCUGGUAGAAAAGACUGCUUCUUGUCUAUCGAUUUUCCAGUAACCCCCCAAGAAGUCCUUCAUUCCUUCUUUUCCUCGGUUCCCUAUUCAAUUAUUGCAGUUUUCUUUCAUUUCCUCGGUUCCCUCUUCUCCGUAUCUGUCCAGAUUAUCGAUCCAAACGUGCUCAAUUUCCAACCACCAUUUACUUUUUCUAUCUCCACUCCAAUUUCCGUCAGAUCUGUGGGAAAUUUCAAGUAACCUUUAUUAUAGACAUAAUUUGAUUUUUUAUGGUUUUCCAUUUGGUCGAAAAAGACUUGCUGGGUUUGUAUUUUCUGUCCCGAUAUUUCUAUAAUUUUUUUUCACUUUCACUCCAUUUGUUUGAUGUUGAAGUUGCAAUAUGAUUUUCUUUUAUCCUGGUAUGAUGCACAGCACAAAGGGUUUUAGGUUUUUUUGCACGAAAAUUGGGUAAUGCAAGGUGUUGAUUUCAUAUCUUGCUAUUGUCAAGCUUGCUGGACCUACCUGAACUGUAUAUUGAUUUGCAUUGUUGUAUGGCAAAACUGUAUAUUAGGUAGUUCUUUCAAUUCGAGUGUUGAGAAGUCUCAUCGAUUUUGUUUUUGGAAUGUGUUUUUCUUGACAAUAUAUACUGGUUUGCACGAUUAGCUCGUUUGGAAGGUAUAUUAUGGUGACUUUAACUUCUUUCUUUUUAAUUUUGAUGAUGAUAAUCUGUUUUAGAAGUAAAAGAAUUUGAGGUUCUACAUGUGAGAGCACUGUUCUAGAGAAGCCUAGUGCAUUAGAAGUUUCAUCAUUGAAAAUUCUUUGGUACACAUUUGGAGAUCCACUUUGCUUUUGACUGCAUCAUACAAGGCAGUCUUUUCCAUCCCAUGAACUUCAAAUCUUUUUAGUUGAAGUCCGAAGUUCUAACACUUUCCCUGACUAAUGGGGGGUUUUACUGGUACUAGACUUCACUAGAUUUUUUAGGUAGUUGUCUAAUAUAAUGUCCUCUCUCAACCACCUUUCUGUGACCUCCUUGAACACUCUGAUCAUGGUAGUGCAAGUGCUGUCUAUAUCAUGCCUAUUGAUACCUAUGUAUCAUGAAAAUUGAAAAGCAAUGACUUGUCCUUAUUGCAGUGAUAGAGGAAGAAAAAGGUUCAUUGUAUUUUGUUAUCUUUGGAGAGCUUUUAUUACCUCUCUUGUAUCACUCAUCCAAAUGCAUGAAUGGUCAAUAAUUACAUGCUUUCUAUUUUUUUAUUGUAGCGAGCUUCAUGCUGUCAUAUUAUUUCUUGCUUGGCAAAAACCAAAAGAAAAAACACUGAAAACUGAUUCAGACCGUAGUGUUUGGUUCAGUUAUAUUUAUUUGGUUCGGUUCAUUCACAGUCUCUUCUGUUUGAAGCAUGAUUCACACCAUAUAAUACAAGUAUUGAUAUAUUGUAAUUUCAAUUCGUUAAAUUAAACCAUUAAUGAUUUGUGUUUGAUUUUUUAUUGCUCCUAAUGGUUCUAAUUUCUUUCUAUGCUUGACCUCCAGCUGUAUAGUUCUUGCUGUCCUAGCCUCUACCUCAGCAUUCUUACUCCUAUUGGUGGCCUUGGUUGAUAUUUUCAUAAGAGGUUGGUCCAAGGUUUUAUCUUUGGAAUGUCUUCUUUCUUGAUUCUGGUCUGUCAAUGGCAUGGCAUUUGUGGUUGUUAUAUGUUUGUGGUGUGCUUGAUUUAUGAUUUGGUAUAAUAUGGAUUUUUGGUAUAAUUUGUUUACGUAUUAUUUGGGAAAUGGUAGUGAUGAG
This 3560-nucleotide long non-coding RNA is filed under the name Gossypium barbadense (sea-island cotton). RNAcentral describes it as "long non-coding RNA (GBAR_LNC020091)". The record is from RNAcentral. Lineage: Eukaryota; Viridiplantae; Streptophyta; Magnoliopsida; Malvales; Malvaceae.